GACGAACGCUGGCGGCGUGCUUAACACAUGCAAGUCGAGCGGAAAGGCCUGCUUUCCCUUGUGGAUUGCGGGUACUCGAGUGGCGAACGGGUGAGUAACACGUGAGUGAUCUGCCCCCAACUUGGGUAUAAGCCUGGGAAACUGGGUCUAAUUCCCGAUAGGACUGCAGGGUGGUGCCUGUGGUGGAAAACGAUUUUCUAGUGGUUGGGGAUGAGCUCGCGGCCUAUCAGCUUGUUGGUGGGGUAAUGGCCUACCAAGGCGGCGACGGGUAGCCGGCCUGGGAGGGUGGACGGGAACGUUGGGACGGAGAUACGGCCCAGACGCCUACGGGAGGCAGCAGUGGGGAAUAUUGCGCAAGGGGCGGAAGCCUGAUGCAGCGACGCCGCGUGGGGGAUGACGGCCUUCGGGUUGUAAACUCCUUUCGACCGCGAGGAAGCCACCUGGUUGGAAGGGUGGUGACGGUAGUGGUAGAAGAAGCACCGGCUAACUACGUG
Molecule: ribosomal RNA, 494 nt
Filed under: uncultured bacterium
Lineage: Bacteria
Description: partial 16S ribosomal RNA
Rfam family: Bacterial small subunit ribosomal RNA
Source: RNAcentral